Molecule: long non-coding RNA, 1983 nt
Organism: Clupea harengus (Atlantic herring)
Lineage: Eukaryota; Metazoa; Chordata; Actinopteri; Clupeiformes; Clupeidae
Source: Ensembl
GCGACCGGAGAACAUCGUAUGGUAGAACUACUGCAUAGACAUAGGACGACCUGUGCCCUUUAGCCUACAUUUUCUUUGCAAAUUCAUGACGGCGCUCCGGUUUUAACAGAUGACCGAAGAGAAGCUGGGGAUCAGUUGCAGGCAUCUCAGGAAUUCAUAAAGAAAUCUGCUAAUUUUCUGUUUGUCAAACACGACAGCUCACAGAACGAGUUUAAGCAGUGAAAUUGAAAACAGUGUUUGAAUUGCUGAGCCACAAGUUCCACAUCCUCUUGGGGUAUAUUGAUGCUGCAGCGCAAAUUAUUACUCAAACAAGAUUCGUCCGAUAUCGCCAUAAAAACCUGCUCAGCCCAAAAAGAUGUCCGUUCAAAGAAGACAUGCCAUGAUGAUUUAUUUGUAUCUGUUACUCAACUUCGUUCUGUGUGAGGAAGUCACCCCACUGAUAGGGAGAAUCAUAACUCCCGAAGGCGGGACAGAGGCCAGGGAAUACCAGUGUGUCGCCGAUGCCAACUCCGCACCAACAAGCUUCGUGUGGAGAUACCAGGGCCAGGCCUUGCCUGAUGGUGUGAGACCCGAGGGGGACAGACUGCACUUCCUCGAGUUGAACUCUGACCUUAACGGCGAGUAUAGCUGUGAGGUCACAAACCCAUAUGGGACGGCUGUGUACUCCAUAUAUCGCCACAUAGUUGACCCCGACGACACCCACAAUGAACUUUGACUGCUGCCCUGAUUUGUCAUUGUGGCUUUCUCUGGACCUGGCUGAAGAAGUCCAAAGUAUCAUGUCUGGCUCAAGUCUGGCUCUGGCUUGUAAUAUACUAGACUUCACAUGCAUAUACUUUCAUUCAUAUACUUGCUUUAUGCAUUAUUUAUUUAUCUUUGAUAUUCCAUCCAUUGCAAGCAGCUUCUUAGCCAAAUCCCAGUGCACUUGAGUGAUGUUAGAACAUACACACCUUCCUCUAUAAUGAGAGGUAUCCAUGAGUGCAUGCACAACUCAAAAUAGAUUGGCUACAGUAAAUAGUGAAAAAUGAAAAAUAUAAGCAGCCUCAUGUAAUGCACAGUAUGGUGUAUGAAUAAUGACAAUGUUAUAUAAUCCUAUAUAUUUGUAAGUUACUUGAAGUCAUUGCUCUUUGUCAUUUGCUCUUUGCCGUUUUGUGCUAUUGCAUUUCAAUAAAUAAAGGAUUUAUUUAAGUGGUCAGUCUGGUGCUUUUGCAAGUGUUUGUGUGUGUGUGUGUGUGUGCACUUGCAUGAGUGUUUGCAUGUUUAGUCACGCAGAAUUGUACUGUUGUAUACUCAGGCCCUUUGAUCUUUUCACCCUAGAACAAGCCCCGUUCCAACCAUGUUAGUUUUGCUUGCCUGCUAUGUGCAACAUGUGAGGCUUGUUUGACCACAUGGUUUGAGGAAGGCUCUUGUGAAAACCUCAGCAGGACACAUCUCCAGUCCAAAACACAUCUGUCAGCACGUAAGAUUUACGUCAGAGGUGGUUAAGUGUACUUUCCGUGGUGCUUCGCCUUGACUACAGCACGUGUCUACACUAAGCAGUCACGGGUGUGCAUGUCUAUAGAUGUCAUCCAUCAGUGUGAUUCUACACACAUACCUUACCUAUUCAUUGUACUUAAGAGCGGAUACAAAAAAGCAAGAGUUUCAGAUUGUUGCACUGGUACAUGGCCUUCCAGGACCAGCUUUUCUGCUUGCAUGGUCUGGACAAGACCACAAGAUGGCAAUCAUAACAGGCCCCUCUGGGUGUCCAGUUAACAUUUUAGUGUGUAAUAAAACAAGAGGCGGAGAUGCAGUUACAUUAGUGACAUCACCACGACUCAUGACAAUAAAACAAUACAUUUUACGUCAGAUAGAUAGACAGACAGACAGACAGAUAGAUAGAUAGAUAGAUAGAUAAAUGCAGAGAUAGUAAGUGAGAAUGCUUGGUCGGACUCAACGCACAUGUCAUGAGUCAUGUAUCGAAGAGAGGAAGCAGUGACCAGACGGCGC